AACGAACGCUGGCGGCAUGCCUAACACAUGCAAGUCGAACGAGACCUUCGGGUCUAGUGGCGCACGGGUGCGUAACGCGUGGGAACCUGCCCUUAGGUUCGGAAUAACUCCCCGAAAGGGGUGCUAAUACCGGAUAAUGUCUUCGGACCAAAGAUUUAUCGCCUUUGGAUGGGCCCGCGUUGGAUUAGCUAGUUGGUAGGGUAAAAGCCUACCAAGGCGACGAUCCAUAGCUGGUCUGAGAGGAUGAUCAGCCACACUGGGACUGAGACACGGCCCAGACUCCUACGGGAGGCAGCAGUGGGGAAUAUUGGACAAUGGGCGAAAGCCUGAUCCAGCAAGGCCGCGUGAGUGAUGAAGGCCUUAGGGUUGUAAAGCUCUUUUACCCGGGAUGAUAAUGACAGUACCGGGAGAAUAAGCGCCGGCUAACUCCGU
This 432-nucleotide ribosomal RNA is filed under the name uncultured bacterium. RNAcentral's name for it is "partial 16S ribosomal RNA". It matches the Rfam family "Bacterial small subunit ribosomal RNA", at positions 29 to 506 of the family's 1533-position model. The record is from RNAcentral.